AACGAACGCUGGCGGCAUGCCUAACACAUGCAAGUCGAACGAGACCUUCGGGUCUAGUGGCGCACGGGUGCGUAACGCGUGGUAACCUGCCCUUAGGUUCGGAAUAACUCCCCGAAAGGGGUGCUAAUACCGGUUAAGGUCUUCGGACCAAAGAUUUAUCGCCUUUGGGUGGGCCCUCGUUGGAUUAGCUGGUUGGUAGGGUAAAAGCCUACCAAGGCGACGAUCCAUAGCUGGUCUGAGAGGAUGCUCAGCCACACUGGGAAUGCGACACGGCCCAGACUCGUACGGGAGGCAGCAGUGGGGAAUAUUGGACGCUGGGCGAAAGCCUGAUACAGCAAUGCCGCGUGAGUGAUGAAGGCCUUAGGGUUGUAAAGCUCUUUUACCCGGGAUGAUAAUGACAGUACCGGGAGAAUAAGCUCCGGCUAACUACGUG
RNAcentral lists this ribosomal RNA (433 nucleotides) under uncultured bacterium. RNAcentral's name for it is "partial 16S ribosomal RNA". It matches the Rfam family "Bacterial small subunit ribosomal RNA", at positions 29 to 507 of the family's 1533-position model. The record is from RNAcentral.